Molecule: ribosomal RNA, 95 nt
Filed under: Physalis minima
Lineage: Eukaryota; Viridiplantae; Streptophyta; Magnoliopsida; Solanales; Solanaceae
Description: partial 26S ribosomal RNA
Source: RNAcentral
UCUCUCGGUGCCGUGGCGGAACCCGUCGGCCGUGCCGGCUGCGAGACCCUUCCGGCGCUUAGGCGCUCCGACCGCGACCCCAGGUCAGGCGGAUA